Molecule: transfer RNA, 88 nt
Filed under: Muribaculaceae bacterium
Lineage: Bacteria; Pseudomonadati; Bacteroidota; Bacteroidia; Bacteroidales; Muribaculaceae
Description: tRNA-Val
Rfam family: tRNA
About the family: Transfer RNA (tRNA) molecules are approximately 80 nucleotides in length.
Source: RNAcentral
GGAAGAAUGGCGGAAUCGGUAGACGCACACGGCAACACAACCCGUGGCCGCAGAUGGCGGCGUAAGAGUUCAACUCUCUUUUCUUCCA